UACGUAGGGAGCAAGCGUUGUCCGGAAUCAUUGGGCGUAAAGCGCGCGUAGGCGGCCCCGUAAGUCCGCUGUGAAAGUCAAAGGCUCAACCUUUGAAAGCCGGUGGAUACUGUGGGGCUAGAGUCCGGAAGAGGCGAGUGGAAUUCCUGGUGUAGCGGUGGAAUGCGCAGAUAUCAGGAGGAACACCAAUAGCGAAGGCAGCUCGCUGGGACGGUACUGACGCUAAGGCGCGAAAGCGUGGGGGAGCGAACAGG
This 254-nucleotide ribosomal RNA is filed under the name uncultured bacterium. RNAcentral describes it as "partial 16S ribosomal RNA". It matches the Rfam family "Bacterial small subunit ribosomal RNA", at positions 524 to 776 of the family's 1533-position model. The record is from RNAcentral.